GAUGCUUUUGGAUGAGAGGCGCAGAGCACUUGGGCUAAAGGUAGGUGUGAGAAGACCUCCUCAUACGGCGAUCCUGGAACAGGUAAUUUGCAGCCAGAUUGUGUCAUGAUCUUAUAUGCUAUAUGCCAUUAAUGAUGUCUUCAAUUCACAUUUCACAAAUUCAAGAAAAAGGAGCAAAUAAAUUCUUCUCACUUUUCAUGGUUUUUGGGGCCAUAUUUAUUUUUUCAGAUAAUCUAUCCCUUUUGGUUCUGUUCUUCCGUGUUUCAAUGUAAAUCAUAUUUAUCAAUAUUCCUUGUUGUACCUCCAUUGAUUGUAACUGCUCUUUAUCUCUGCAAUUGGUUCUACUUGUACUUUCUAAUAUCUGUUGCUAGCUACCUUUCUGUAUGUUAUGCUUCAAGGAAGACUUGGUCUCAUUCCAUGACGUUUUUCUCAUGACAAAACAAUACUUGUGUGGCCUCAUUUAGUGUUUAAAUACGUGGAUAUGUUUCUUUCUUCUCUAAACCUUGAGCAGUUUAUUUUUCAAUGGUGGGAUCUCAGUUUUUUUGUUGA
Molecule: unclassified non-coding RNA, 549 nt
Filed under: Hevea brasiliensis (rubber tree)
Lineage: Eukaryota; Viridiplantae; Streptophyta; Magnoliopsida; Malpighiales; Euphorbiaceae
Source: RNAcentral